GAUUGUUGGUGUAGCAGGGGUGUGUGUGUGUGUGUGCACGCUCAUGCACAUGUGCACUUGCUAGCCUGGCACGUAAUAAAUGUGUGCUCACAUACGAGACAGUGGGGAGGGGAACCAUAGAGGAACACAGAACUCAUGCAGAGGAGAACAAAAGACCCAUAAUGACCAAGCGGAGGAAGAAAAUAAGCAGAGCACAGGACUGUACAGUACAUUUGUACUGGUUCCUCUGAAUGACUGGAGCAUCCCCAUGCAGCACAGUAACCAAGGUGGAGACGACAUGCAAGGACAACAUGGAGGAAAGGGCACAGACAAACUGUUUGGCAGGCUAUUCAGACAUUAGGAGACAAUUGCUCUUGACUACCAUGCAAGUAUAAGAACGCAUCUUUAAAAAGAAGGAUGCUAAAGAAUAAAUAGCAGGAAGCUUUUUUUAGCCAAAGGAAGCCUAAAAUAUGUCAACAAGGCA
Long non-coding RNA from Brienomyrus brachyistius, 463 nucleotides. RefSeq lists it as uncharacterized. The transcript has 3 exons. The record is from RefSeq and is a predicted model, not a curated record. NCBI's taxonomy places the organism in Eukaryota, Metazoa, Chordata, Actinopteri, Osteoglossiformes, Mormyridae.